AUGCAAGUCGAGCGGAUGAAGGGAGCUUGCUCCUGGAUUCAGCGGCGGACGGGUGAGUAAUGCCUAGGAAUCUGCCUGGUAGUGGGGGAUAACGUCCGGAAACGGGCGCUAAUACCGCAUACGUCCUGAGGGAGAAAGUGGGGGAUCUUCGGACCUCACGCUAUCAGAUGAGCCUAGGUCGGAUUAGCUAGUUGGUGGGGUAAAGGCCUACCAAGGCGACGAUCCGUAACUGGUCUGAGAGGAUGAUCAGUCACACUGGAACUGAGACACGGUCCAGACUCCUACGGGAGGCAGCAGUGGGGAAUAUUGGACAAUGGGCGAAAGCCUGAUCCAGCCAUGCCGCGUGUGUGAAGAAGGUCUUCGGAUUGUAAAGCACUUUAAGUUGGGAGGAAGGGCAGUAAGUUAAUACCUUGCUGUUUUGACGUUACCAACAGAAUAAGCACCGGCUAACUUCGUGCCAGCAGCCGCGGUAAUACGAAGGGUGCAAGCGUUAAUCGGAAUUACUGGGCGUAAAGCGCGCGUAGGUGGUUCAGCAAGUUGGAUGUGAAAUCCCCGGGCUCAACCUGGGAACUGCAUCCGAAACUACUGAGCUAGAGUACGGUAGAGGGUGGUGGAAUUUCCUGUGUAGCGGUGAAAUGCGUAGAUAUAGGAAGGAACACCAGUGGCGAAGGCGACCACCUGGACUGAUACUGACACUGAUGU
Molecule: ribosomal RNA, 702 nt
Filed under: Pseudomonas sp. Iso3
Lineage: Bacteria; Pseudomonadati; Pseudomonadota; Gammaproteobacteria; Pseudomonadales; Pseudomonadaceae
Description: bacterial SSU rRNA
Rfam family: Bacterial small subunit ribosomal RNA
Source: RNAcentral